GGGGCUGUAGCUCAGGGGAUAGAGCAGGGCCGUCCUAAGGCUCGUGUCGGCGGUUCGAUUCCGCCCAGCCCCUCCG
This 76-nucleotide transfer RNA is filed under the name Chloroflexi bacterium GWC2_70_10. Its description in RNAcentral is "tRNA-Arg". It matches the Rfam family "tRNA". Rfam says of the family: Transfer RNA (tRNA) molecules are approximately 80 nucleotides in length. Their secondary structure includes four short double-helical elements and three loops (D, anti-codon, and T loops). Lineage: Bacteria; Bacillati; Chloroflexota. The record is from RNAcentral.